UCUGCCUGAACAGGCAUGAACAAGAGGUUGGUUUAACGUCUCAUCCGUAGGACAAUGUUGAAGACAGGCCAGUGAACAAGCAAUAUUUACACCCCUGCAGCACAGCAUUUAACUAAACCUGGGUGUGUCAUGGCAGAAGAACCGUCCUACAAGGAGCAAUAGCUCAGUGGAUGAGCCGUACAAGUAACCACGCUUGCAAAUAAGUUCCCAGCUAGCAUACAAAGUGCCCCAGGGCAGCCACGCAGCAAAAAGGAUCGACGUCAUAUUAAAGCUUUGCAUUUUAAAGCUUCUCGGGAGAGUUUUUCCCAAAAGUGCUCUCGCCUUGGAAAACAAAACGCUCUCCCUGGCAAACGAGUACUCCGGAUGCACAGAAACAGCAGCGUGGAAACUAGCGGAAUGGAGGUUUUCUCAUCGAAAACAAAAGCAGUGUCGAUUUCAGAGACUUUUAAAACUAUUCAAAGCCUCUUUGUUGAUUCACGUACCAGGCCUGGAAAAGACAAGCACAGCUUUGCUCUCUCCCCAGCCCCUACCUCUGCGACCUCCUCAACUACAUCGCUCACUGUUUCAUGUCCCCCACCCUAUCUGCCUUUCUGGCUCCAACACUCUCUAGAACUCUGUCCUGGAGUUCCUCUGACUCACUCCCUCCUUUCCCCUCGUUGAAGCCACUUAUCAACGUUUCUCCCACAACACACAUGUCGCCGUGUCAAGGUGGUGGCACGUUUCACCCAUGAAAAAAUGCACAGUUAAUUCACUUCACAGUAUAUUCUGUGUAGCGCUUUG
Molecule: long non-coding RNA, 780 nt
Organism: Callorhinchus milii (elephant shark)
Lineage: Eukaryota; Metazoa; Chordata; Chondrichthyes; Chimaeriformes; Callorhinchidae
Exons: 3
Source: RefSeq, a predicted model, not a curated record